UACGGAGGGGUCUAGCGUUAAUCGGAAUUACUGGGCGUAAAGCGUGCGCAGGCGGUUAUGCAAGACAGAUGUGAAAUCCCCGGGCUUAACCUGGGAACUGCAUUUGUGACUGCAUAGCUGGAGUACGGCAGAGGGGGAUGGAAUUCCGCGUGUAGCAGUGAAAUGCGUAGAUAUGCGGAGGAACACCGAUGGCGAAGGCAGUCCCCUGGGCCUGUACUGACGCUCAUGCACGAAAGCGUGGGGAGCAAACAGG
This 253-nucleotide ribosomal RNA is filed under the name uncultured bacterium. RNAcentral's name for it is "partial 16S ribosomal RNA". It matches the Rfam family "Bacterial small subunit ribosomal RNA", at positions 524 to 776 of the family's 1533-position model. The record is from RNAcentral.